RNAcentral lists this transfer RNA (71 nucleotides) under Schistosoma incognitum. RNAcentral's name for it is "tRNA-Gln". The record is from RNAcentral. Lineage: Eukaryota; Metazoa; Platyhelminthes; Trematoda; Strigeidida; Schistosomatidae.
AAAAACUAGUUGUGUUAUGCAUACUUUGUUUUGGUCAAAGAGGUGGUAUAUGUAUUUGAAGCCAGUUUUUA